This 378-nucleotide transfer-messenger RNA is filed under the name Bacteroidota bacterium. RNAcentral describes it as "Bacteroidetes bacterium (hydrothermal vent metagenome) transfer-messenger RNA". It matches the Rfam family "transfer-messenger RNA". Rfam says of the family: Bacterial tmRNA, also known as 10Sa RNA or SsrA, is named for its dual tRNA and mRNA-like properties. Lineage: Bacteria; Pseudomonadati; Bacteroidota. The record is from RNAcentral.
GGGGCUGACUGGAAUCGACAGGAAAGAUAAUCGAUAAGUAAGCAUGCCGGAGCAUGAUAAUUUAUCUCCGUUAACAAAUAAUUAUCAACCUAUAUUUUAAAUGGCGAAUAUAAUUAUGCCAUGGCUGCCUAAUUCUAGGAAUUAGAAAGCCUUUGUGCCUUAUGCUUGAUGUCUGAUACACAGCAUAACGCAUAUCAUAAAACUUCAGACUGGGUACCGGUAGAUGCCCUGAUACCGGGCCGAGAAACAAGGGCUAAGAUUUGAUUCGGUUUGUGUCAUGACCAAAAUCAAAUACGAAAAUUCAAUAUGACACUAAGCAUGUAGAAAGCUUAUGGGUGCUUUCUCUGGACCCGGGUUCGAAACCCGGCAGCUCCACUA